RNAcentral lists this ribosomal RNA (253 nucleotides) under uncultured prokaryote. RNAcentral's name for it is "partial 16S ribosomal RNA". It matches the Rfam family "Bacterial small subunit ribosomal RNA", at positions 525 to 777 of the family's 1533-position model. The record is from RNAcentral.
ACGUAGGGUGCAAGCGUUAAUCGGAAUUACUGGGCGUAAAGCGUGCGCAGGCGGUUAUGUAAGACAGGUGUGAAAUCCCCGGGCUUAACCUGGGAACUGCAUUUGUGACUGCAUAGCUAGAGUACGGUAGAGGGGGAUGGAAUUCCGCGUGUAGCAGUGAAAUGCGUAGAUAUCUGGAGGAACACCGGUGGCGAAGGCGGCUCACUGGACCAGUACUGACGCUGAGGCACGAAAGCGUGGGGAGCAAACAGGA